UGGUGACAUGGAGCAGAUCUGUGACAUAAAU
Molecule: non-coding RNA, 31 nt
Filed under: Homo sapiens (human)
Lineage: Eukaryota; Metazoa; Chordata; Mammalia; Primates; Hominidae
Source: RNAcentral